This 460-nucleotide ribosomal RNA is filed under the name uncultured bacterium. Its description in RNAcentral is "partial 16S ribosomal RNA". It matches the Rfam family "Bacterial small subunit ribosomal RNA", at positions 338 to 795 of the family's 1533-position model. The record is from RNAcentral.
CCUACGGGGUGCAGCAGUGAGGAAUAUUGGUCAAUGGACGAGAGUCUGAACCAGCCAAGUAGCGUGAAGGAUGACUGCCCUAUGGGUUGUAAACUUCUUUUAUAUGGGAAUAAAAUGUUCCACGUGUGGGAUUUUGUAUGUACCAUAUGAAUAAGGAUCGGCUAACUCCGUGCCAGCAGCCGCGGUAAUACGGAGGAUCCGAGCGUUAUCCGGAUUUAUUGGGUUUAAAGGGAGCGUAGGUGGAUUGUUAAGUCAGUUGUGAAAGUUUGCGGCUCAACCGUAGAAUUGCAGUUGAAACUGGCAGUCUUGAGUACAGUAGAGGUGGGCGGAAUUCGUGGUGUAGCGGUGAAAUGCUUAGAUAUCACGAAGAACUCCGAUUGCGAAGGCAGUUCACUGGACUGCAACUGACACUGAGGCUCGAAAGUGUGGGUAUCAAACAGGAUUAGAUACCCGUGUAGUC